Molecule: long non-coding RNA, 322 nt
Filed under: Gossypium barbadense (sea-island cotton)
Lineage: Eukaryota; Viridiplantae; Streptophyta; Magnoliopsida; Malvales; Malvaceae
Description: long non-coding RNA (GBAR_LNC022083)
Source: RNAcentral
GAAAACAACAUCAUUUUCUUUUGGCUUCCAAGUUUUGAAGGAGGAUAUCCAAAACUCACCCACCACUAGAAAUGGUAGUGGAUGCAAAACCUUCAAUUUUCCUUACCAAUAGAACAUAUCAGAUUCUAUUUGCUUUUUCCCUUACCAUUAGUGAUAUUUUCUUUUUUUCCCCUUGAGAUUUUUAAGAUAUCUGUUUAACUAAUUCAAGGACCAAACUGCAUAAACGUGUGACAAUGUGCAUCAUUUUUAUUUCAUCUAUUUCUCCAUGCCCUGUAAUAUCAUAUAUGUUCACUGUCUUGUUGCGAUAUUGUCUUUUUGCAAU